UAGCGCUUAUCUUGGGCUUCAACGUUUGAAUGAGCAGCGACCCCUUCUUCUUCCAUUUCCUCAAGACUCACUGGAGAACACGCACACACACACUCGCGUUCUCAAGCGAAAAAUAAGAAAAAAAAACUCACAAAAAAAUUCUGCUGCUUUUGAGUCUCGAGUUUUUUAGACAAAUUCCGGACAGAAAUUCCGGAUUUUUGGGUUUCAAAGAUGAGGUUCAACUAAUUUGAGGUUCGUUCGAGGUCGUCGGUGUAGUUUCUGAGUCCGUCAAGGUCCGGUGCGUCGAGGUGCCGUUCAAGGUUAUUUUCAUGGUUCACGGAUCAAACUCUUGCUGUUGUUGCAUUUUUGGUCAGAUUUAGUUCGUCGAAAUUUGCCAUAACUGAAUUCUCGUUAAUACUAAUGAGUUAAUUGUUGAGGACCGAAAACCUUGGACGAACGACGGAACAGGGACCUCAGACAGCUACCUCCGGCUACCUCGAAGCUCGCCGGAAAGUUAAAAAAAUAGCCGGAUCUGAAAGUCCGCGAGAAUCAGAAAGUCAUACGCACACGCCGCUUUUUCCACGGCGACGAGCUGCAGUUUGAGCUACUAUUUUCAUAUUCUUAGGGCUGGUUUUACAGCUGGUUGUGGUGGUGUUAUAACAGACUUUUAUACUUGCUCAUCAAACGGAAAAUGAGAGGCGAUUUCAGGAGCAGUAACGGCCAGAGAUUCGUUGUCUUCCUGCGGUUCAACACUUUUUAGUUCCUUUGUGACAGAGAGCCCAUCGUGUGGAUCUACAUGCGGCUCCGAGGGAAUUGCAGCUGGCGGUGAUUCAAGUUUGUUUAUCUAAUGCAGGUCAUUAUCAACAGCUAGUGGUGGUGAGCAGCUGGCAGAGCUGCUGUGGAGAAGAAUGAUAUGCUAAGGCCUUAGGGUGUCUAGACGCGGCUGCUGCUGCUUCUUUUCUUAGGGUUCUCUUGUGUUUAUGUUAAGGAAGAUGAAGGAAAAGGGUCGUUGGUUGCAGCUCAAAGAAGAUGACUAAGCUUCAGUAUGUAAGAAACGGCUGGAAGAUGUUUUCCUCCUUAUCUCUCUAGCGUUAGGUUUUUGUGUAUUUUUUGGCUGAUCUCCUAAAAAUGUGUCUCCUUUCGCUGAUAGCUUCCCCCGAUCCCUUUUUCACGGCUCAUGGUUGUGUGUAUAUAGGUUAGGUUUUUUGGUAGGAUUUUAGAUUAAGGGGUAUGAUCCUAGGAAUUAUGGGCUUGAAAAUUAUGGCCUAAAAAUGAGUUGCUCGAGUCCA
Nicotiana tabacum (common tobacco) is the source of this 1268-nucleotide long non-coding RNA. RefSeq lists it as uncharacterized. The record is from RefSeq and is a predicted model, not a curated record. Lineage: Eukaryota; Viridiplantae; Streptophyta; Magnoliopsida; Solanales; Solanaceae.